UCGAUCCUCAAACGCACAAUCAACUCGUCCAUGUUCAUUUCCUUACGUUUGUGUUUGAGGUAAUUUUUGAAAUCUCUCCAUGAAGGCGGGAGUUUUUCAAUUACCGCUGCUACUUGGAAUGACUCACUUACAGUCAUUUUUUCAGCAUGUAAAUCAUGGAGGAGUACCUGCAAAUCUUGAACUUGGGAAAUAAUAGAUUUAGAGUCAAUCAUUUUAUAUUCCAAAAAUUUUCCGACAAGAAAUUUUUUAGAUCCUACAUCUUCAAUUUUAUAUUUUUUCUCUAAAGAUUCCCAUAGUUCUUUUGCAGUUUUCAUUAUGCUAUAUACACCAUAUAGCGAAUCAUUCAGU
RNAcentral lists this long non-coding RNA (348 nucleotides) under Olea europaea (common olive). RNAcentral's name for it is "long non-coding RNA (OEUR_LNC009446)". Lineage: Eukaryota; Viridiplantae; Streptophyta; Magnoliopsida; Lamiales; Oleaceae. The record is from RNAcentral.